This 86-nucleotide transfer RNA is filed under the name Candidatus Tectimicrobiota bacterium. Its description in RNAcentral is "tRNA-Leu". It matches the Rfam family "tRNA". From Rfam's summary of the family: Transfer RNA (tRNA) molecules are approximately 80 nucleotides in length. Their secondary structure includes four short double-helical elements and three loops (D, anti-codon, and T loops). Lineage: Bacteria; Pseudomonadati; Candidatus Tectimicrobiota. The record is from RNAcentral.
GCCGAAGUGGUGGAACUGGUAGACACGCCAUCUUGAGGGGGUGGUGAGCAAAACUCGUGGGGGUUCGAGUCCCCCCUUCGGCACCA